UACGGGGGGGGCAAGCGUUGUUCGGAAUUACUGGGCGUAAAGGGCUCGUAGGUGGCCAACUAAGUCAGACGUGAAAUCCCUCGGCUUAACCGGGGAACUGCGUCUGAUACUGGAUGGCUUGAGUUUGGGAGAGGGAUGCGGAAUUCCAGGUGUAGCGGUGAAAUGCGUAGAUAUCCGGAGGAACACCGGUGGCGAAGGCGGGUCUCUGGGCCGAUACUGACGCUGAGGAGCGAAAGCGUGGGGAGCGAACAGG
RNAcentral lists this ribosomal RNA (253 nucleotides) under uncultured bacterium. RNAcentral's name for it is "partial 16S ribosomal RNA". It matches the Rfam family "Bacterial small subunit ribosomal RNA", at positions 524 to 776 of the family's 1533-position model. The record is from RNAcentral.